This 253-nucleotide ribosomal RNA is filed under the name uncultured bacterium. Its description in RNAcentral is "partial 16S ribosomal RNA". It matches the Rfam family "Bacterial small subunit ribosomal RNA", at positions 524 to 776 of the family's 1533-position model. The record is from RNAcentral.
UACGGAGGGGGCAAGCGUUAUUCGGAAUCACUGGGCUUAAAGGGCGCGUAGGCGGGCCGCCAGGUCCGGGGUGAAAGCCUCCAGCUCAACUGGAGAAGUGCCUUGGAUACCGGCGGCCUCGAGGGAGGUAGGGGCGUGCGGAACUUCGGGUGGAGCGGUGAAAUGCGUAGAUAUCCGAAGGAACACCGGUGGCGAAAGCGGCGCGCUGGAUCUCUUCUGACGCUGAGGAGCGAAAGCGUGGGUAGCGAACAGG